This is a long non-coding RNA of Neofelis nebulosa (Clouded leopard), 1573 nucleotides long. RefSeq lists it as uncharacterized. The transcript has 3 exons. The record is from RefSeq and is a predicted model, not a curated record. Lineage: Eukaryota; Metazoa; Chordata; Mammalia; Carnivora; Felidae.
AGAGAGGGAGGGAGAGGGCAGGGAAGAGGGGCAGAGAGAAAGAGAGAAAGAAUCCCAAGCUGGCUCCACACCCAUCACGGGGCCCCCACGGCCCUGGGAUCAUGACCUGAGCAAAAAUGUAGUCAGUCUCUCAGCCAGCUGAGCCACCCAAGCCACCCCUGAUUUCUAAAGCUUUAUUUGUGGGUGUAAGAGACAGUGUUGACUGAGCAUGCCUUGUUCUACUCUUUGCUGCAAUGUUAUAGGUUAGCUCAGUUUUACAGAAAUUAGAAAACGGAGCUCACGGAAGUGACUUCUUUUGCUGAAGGCCACUUAGCAGGAGAGUGGCAGAACAGACAUCACGAUCCACGCUUCUUUGUUUUAAGGCCGGUGGUGUUUUCUUGGGAGCUACAUGGGUAUACCCAGUUCUGCAUAAAGGCGCUCUCUGACCGAGGCUGGCGAGGGACCGAGGUGUGGCAAGGUGCAGAGGAGAGAGAGAGAGAGACAAUGAGCAGGGGAGGCACAGGGAGACGGAGACACAGAAUUUGAAGCAGGCUCCAGGCUCUGAGCUCUCAGCACAGAGCCCAACGUGGGGCUCGAACUCACAACCUGCAAGAUCAUGACCUGAGUAGAAGCCAGAUGCUUAAACGACUGAGCCACCCAGGAGCCCCCAGACAACCUUGUUUUAGUUUAAGAUGCCACACAUUUGGAUCCUUUCCAUUUUGGAGCAAUUAUGAAUAAGCAUCCUCCUGAAGAUCUUUGUCUGAACAUAUAUUUUCCUUUAUCCUGGGUAUAACAACUGUAAGAGGGAUGACUGUAUCAUGUGGUAAGAGUACAUUUAGCUUUCUAAGGAAAUUGUAGGCUGUUUUCUACAGUUGCUGUACCAUUUUUCAUUCCCGUAAGCCGUGAAUGGUGGUUCAAGUUGCUCUAUAUUUUUGCCAGCACUUGGCAUUGCCAAUGUAUUUCAUAUUCUAGUUGAGGUGUGGUGGCAACCUAAGGUUACGAAGAUUUUCUCCUAUGCUUUCUUCAAAAAGUUUUAUAGUUUCAAGGUGUAUAUCUCUGAUUAGUUUUGAUUGUUUUAUAUAUGGUGUGAGCCUUGGGUAGAUUUUGUUUUUUUUCCUGUCACUGUACUGUUGCUCUGUCACCAUUUAUUGAAAGGACUAACUUCCUCACUGAGUCACCUGAUAUUUGUUGAAAAUGAAUUGGCCCUAAAUAUGUAGAUCUAUUUCAAUUUUAUUGACUGUAUGUGUAUUCAUUAACCCAGGGCUUGGCAAAAUCUGGCCCAUUGCCCCUUUUUAUAUGAUCCAUAAAUUAAGAAUAAUGUCUACACUCUUAAGUGGUCAAAAAAUAAAGAAUAAUAUUUUCUGACCCCUGAAAAUUACAUGAAAUUCAAGUUUUAAUUUCCAUAAAGUCUUAUAGGAAUGUAGUCCAUUGUUCAGUUGUUUAUAUGUUAUUUGUAGCUGUUUUCACACUCUAAUGGCACAGUUGAGUAGCUGUAUCAGAAAAACUCUGACCUAGCAGCCUAAAAUAUUUACUUUCUAGCUCUUUAAAGAGAUACUUGGCCAACCAUUGCUUUAGCUGAUAUCACAUUCUCUUG